Molecule: ribosomal RNA, 640 nt
Filed under: uncultured bacterium
Lineage: Bacteria
Description: bacterial SSU rRNA
Rfam family: Bacterial small subunit ribosomal RNA
Source: RNAcentral
ACUCCUACGGGAGGCAGCAGCAAGGAAUUUUCCGCAAUGGGCGCAAGCCUGACGGAGCAACGCCGCGUGCGGGAUGACGCCUUUCGGGGUGUAAACCGCUGUUCGUGGGGACGAAGCACUGACGGUACCCACGGAGGAAGGCCCGGCUAACUACGUGCCAGCAGCCGCGGUAAUACGUAGGGGCCGAGCGUUGUCCGGAGUUACUGGGCGUAAAGCGUGCGCAGGCGGCGUAUCGCGCCCGGCGUGAAAGCCCCCGGCUCAACCGGGGAGGGUCGUCGGGGACGGGUACGCUUGAGGGCAGCAGGGGCUGGUGGAAUUCCCGGUGUAGUGGUGAAAUGCGUAGAGAUCGGGAGGAACACCUGUGGCGAAGGCGGCCAGCUGGGCUGCACCUGACGCUGAGGCACGAAGGCGUGGGGAGCGAACGGGAUUAGAUACCCCGGUAGUCCACGCAGUAAACGAUGCAGACUAGGCGUGGGGGGACUUGACCCCCUCCGUGCCGGAGCUAACGCGGGAAGUCUGCCGCCUGGGGAGUACGGCCGCAAGGCUAAAACUCAAAGGAAUUGACGGGGGCCCGCACAAGCGGCGGAGCGUGUUGUUUAAUUCGUCGCAACGCGAAGAACCUUACCAGGGCUUGACAUGG